AGGUUAACCGUAUAGGGGAGCCGUAGAGAAAUCGAGUCUUAAUAGGGCGUUUAGUUGCUGGGUAUAGACCCGAAACCAGGCGAUCUAUCCAUGAGCAGGUUGAAGGUUGGGUAACACUAACUGGAGGACCGAACCCACUGUCGUUGAAAAGCCAGGGGAUGACUUGUGGAUAGGGGUGAAAGGCUAAUCAAGCCUGGUGAUAGCUGGUUCUCCCCGAAAGCUAUUUAGGUAGCGCCUCGGACGAAUACCAUAGGGGGUAGAGCACUGUUUCGGCUAGGGGGUCAUCCCGACUUACCAAACCGAUGCAAACUCCGAAUACCUAUGAGUACUAUCCGGGAGACAGACUGCGGGUGCUAACGUCCGUAGUCAAGAGGAAAACAAUCCAGACCGCCAGCUAAGGCCCCAAAAUCAUAGUUAAGUGGGAAACGAUGUGGGAAGGCAUAGACAGCUAGGAGGUUGGCUUAGAAGCAGCCACCCUUUAAAGAAAGCGUAAUAGCUCACUAGUCGAGUCGGCCUGCGCGGAAGAUGUAACGGGGCUAAAACUAUGUGCCGAAGCUGCGGAUUUGACAUUAGUCAAGUGGUAGGGGAGCGUUCUGUAAGCCGAUGAAGGUGUAUUGAGAAGUAUGCUGGAGGUAUCAGAAGUGCGAAUGCUGACGUGAGUAACGACAAAACGGGUGAAAAACCCGUUCGCCGAAAGACCAAGGGUUCCAGUCCAACGUUAAUCG
RNAcentral lists this ribosomal RNA (725 nucleotides) under Acinetobacter baumannii. Its description in RNAcentral is "partial 23S ribosomal RNA". It matches the Rfam family "Bacterial large subunit ribosomal RNA", at positions 643 to 1371 of the family's 2925-position model. Lineage: Bacteria; Pseudomonadati; Pseudomonadota; Gammaproteobacteria; Moraxellales; Moraxellaceae. The record is from RNAcentral.